Molecule: small RNA, 58 nt
Filed under: Salvator merianae (Argentine black and white tegu)
Lineage: Eukaryota; Metazoa; Chordata; Lepidosauria; Squamata; Teiidae
Description: 7SK RNA (ENSSMRG00000015972.1)
Rfam family: 7SK RNA
About the family: 7SK was discovered as an abundant small nuclear RNA in the mid-70s but a possible function has only recently been suggested. Two independent studies have found that 7SK RNA binds the CDK9/cyclin T complex (known as elongation factor P-TEFb).
Source: RNAcentral
UCUGACACCCCACUGAUUGCCAGGGUUGAUUCGGCUAUCUGGCUGGCCAGGUGUCAGG